This 407-nucleotide ribosomal RNA is filed under the name Verrucomicrobiota bacterium. Its description in RNAcentral is "Verrucomicrobia bacterium partial 16S ribosomal RNA". It matches the Rfam family "Bacterial small subunit ribosomal RNA", at positions 355 to 776 of the family's 1533-position model. Lineage: Bacteria; Pseudomonadati; Verrucomicrobiota. The record is from RNAcentral.
UGGGGAAUAUUGGGCAAUGGGCGAAAGCCUGACCCAGCAACGCCGCGUGAAGUAUGAAGGCCUUCGGGUUGUAAACUUCUUUGAUCAGGGAAGAAACAAAUGACGGUACCUGAAAAACAAGCCACGGCUAACUACGUGCCAGCAGCCGCGGUAAUACGUAGGUGGCGAGCGUUAUCCGGAUUUACUGGGUGUAAAGGGCGUGCAGGCGGGCUGAUAAGUCAGAUGUGAAAUCCCCGAGCUUAACUCGGGAACUGCAUCUGAUACUGUUGGUCUUGAGUGCUGGAGAGGAUAGUGGAAUUCCUAGUGUAGCGGUAAAAUGCGCAGAUAUUAGGAGGAACACCAGUGGCGAAGGCGGCUAUCUGGACAGUAACUGACACUGAGGCACGAAAGCGUGGGUAGCAAACAGG